Molecule: small nuclear RNA, 104 nt
Organism: Monodelphis domestica (gray short-tailed opossum)
Lineage: Eukaryota; Metazoa; Chordata; Mammalia; Didelphimorphia; Didelphidae
Source: Ensembl
CGAGUCCUCACUUUAGUAGCACUAAAAUUGGAAUGGUAAACAAAAGAUUAUCAUGGCCCUGUGCAAAGAUGACAUGCAAAUUCAUUGAAGCAUUCCAUAAAUUA